Molecule: ribosomal RNA, 254 nt
Filed under: uncultured bacterium
Lineage: Bacteria
Description: partial small subunit ribosomal RNA
Rfam family: Bacterial small subunit ribosomal RNA
Source: RNAcentral
AGGACGAACGCUGGCGGCGUGCUUAACACAUGCAAGUCGAGCGGAAAGGCCCUUCGGGGUACUCGAGCGGCGAACGGGUGAGUAACACGUGAGUAAUCUGCCCCUAGCUCUGGGAUAGCUCCGGGAAACCGGGAUUAAUACCGAAUAUGACCACUUUAGACAUCUGCUGUGGUGGAAAGAAUUUCGGCUAGGGAUGAGCUCGCGGCCUAUCAGCUUGUUGGUGGGGUAACGGCCUACCAAGGCGACGACGGGUA